RNAcentral lists this ribosomal RNA (468 nucleotides) under uncultured bacterium. RNAcentral's name for it is "partial 16S ribosomal RNA". It matches the Rfam family "Bacterial small subunit ribosomal RNA", at positions 28 to 507 of the family's 1533-position model. The record is from RNAcentral.
GACGAACGCUGGCGGCGUGCUUAACACAUGCAAGUCGAACGGAAAGGCCCUGCUUUUGUGGGGUGCUCGAGUGGCGAACGGGUAAGUAACACGUGAGUAACCUGCCCUUGACUUUGGGAUAACUUCAGGAAACUUGGGCUAAUACCGGAUAGGAUCUCCUGCUGCAUGGUGGGGGUUGGAAAGUUUCGGCGGUUGGGGAUGGACUCGCGGCUUAUCAGCUUGUUGGUGGGGUAGUGGCUUACCAAGGCUUUGACGGGUAGCCGGCCUGAGAGGGUGACCGGACACAUUGGGACUGAGAUACGGCACAGACUCCUACGGGAGGCAGCAGUGGGGAAUAUUGCACAAUGGGCGGAAGGCUGAUGCAGCAACGCCGCGUGCGGGAUGACGGCCUUCGGGUUGUAAACCGAUUUCGCCUGUGACGAAGCGUGAGUGACGGUAAUGGGUAAAGAAGCACCGGCUAACUACGUG